GAUGAACGCUGGCGGCGUGCCUAAUACAUGCAAGUCGAGCGAACGGACGAGAAGCUUGCUUCUCUGAUGUUAGCGGCGGACGGGUGAGUAACACGUGGAUAACCUACCUAUAAGACUGGGAUAACUUCGGGAAACCGGAGCUAAUACCGGAUAAUAUUUUGAACCGCAUGGUUCAAAAGUGAAAGACGGUCUUGCUGUCACUUAUAGAUGGAUUCGCGCUGCAUUAGCUAGUUGGUAAGGUAACGGCUUACCAAGGCAACGAUGCAUAGCCGACCUGAGAGGGUGAUCAGCCACACUGGAACUGAGACACGGUCCAGACUCCUACGGGAGGCAGCAGUAGGGAAUCUUCCGCAAUGGGCGAAAGCCUGACGGAGCAACGCCGCGUGAGUGAUGAAGGUCUUCGGAUCGUAAAACUCUGUUAUUAGGGAAGAACAUAUGUGUAAGUAACUGUGCACAUCUUGACGGUACCUAAUCAGAAAGCCACGGCUAACUACGUG
RNAcentral lists this ribosomal RNA (497 nucleotides) under uncultured bacterium. RNAcentral describes it as "partial 16S ribosomal RNA". It matches the Rfam family "Bacterial small subunit ribosomal RNA", at positions 28 to 507 of the family's 1533-position model. The record is from RNAcentral.